AACAGAUGGAGUGAUUGGAGGCACCAGACUCUGGCUCUUUAGGAAACUGGAUGUAAACUCAUGGUAACAUUUCUUUUUAACUUCCUGAAUACCUUCCUUUAUAAGUCUUAAUGUCUGAUGGUGGUCUCCAAUACUACAAACUUGGGAUGUUCACAAACACAGUACUAGUUUUCCCUAGGGCACACAAAGCAUUGUCCUUUCAGAAGUCCCAUAUUGCCUCCAUUUCAUGCCAGUUUAACCUAACAGUCUUCAGAGUUUUAUCUGGCAACUAGAAUAAUGUAGAAUCUCCCCAUGUCAGGCUGAAUGCUGUAAGUACAUUAUGAACUUCCUGCUUAAGGCUUUCUCAAUAAAUGUCUACCCGUUGGCUCUUGGCAACUUUUCUCCCAAGCCUCUUCCUUUGUUUCUUUGGUCAUUAUGGGACAAAUCUGAAAUUCAGGGAAAGGGGCCAACUUAUUCUGUAUUUCAGCAAAGACCCCGAAAGGAAAGAAAAUGGAAAGUUUGGACUGGGUCGAAGCUAGCAGACCUCCACUUGACUCACUUUGACCAUCUUUCUCUGGUACCCAGAACAAACUGCCAGUGCUUUUAAAACCUACUACAGUUACUGUUCCUGUCUUCAAAAGACAAAUACUUUUUCAAAUUAGACAUUCAUUUCACAAUAUCCUGAUUCUGGUUUACUACGAUGCAAGAACCUCUCUGUAUAAAGUUUACUUAUAAACAUUUUGCAGUAGAAAUAGUCCAUUUUAGUUAAAAUAACCAUUAAAAAGGAAACUCUCCAACAACCACAGAAGUUCUGCUAAAACCUGAGCCUUUGAACAUGUUCACAUUGAUCCAGAUUUUAUGUUUAAUAGGGUUCUUUCUCUAUUUUCUGUUGAGACUGGUAGCAUAUUUCCAUUUGUUCUAGUUUUCAGUUACAAUAUUUAUUCAUGGUUGUCUGGUGGAGGAUGGGGGAGGAAAAUUUGAUCCAAAGUUUCUCAUCAGAACAUCACUAUUUCCACAGAGUGGAGAAAGUGGACUUGCCUUAGGAUAUAGGAGAGGCUUCAAAUGUCCAUCAACUGAUGAAUGGAUAAAGAAGAUGUGGUUUAUAUACACAAUGGAAUACUACUUGGCAAUGAGAAAGAAUGAAAUCAUGCCAUUUGCAGCAACGCUGAUGGAACUGGAAGGUAUUAUGCUGAGUGAAAUAAGUCAGUCAGAGAAGGACAUACAUCAUAUGUUUUCACUCAUAUGUGGAUCUUGAGAAACUUAACAGAAGUCCAUGGCAGGAGGGAAGGG
Molecule: long non-coding RNA, 1269 nt
Filed under: Lynx pardinus (Iberian lynx)
Lineage: Eukaryota; Metazoa; Chordata; Mammalia; Carnivora; Felidae
Source: RNAcentral